AGCUCACAUCUAUAACGACUCUAAGUUCUCCACUGUUUUUAUGUAAUUCCAUGUAGUCUCCUUUUAAUAACAAAUCUUAUAUUAAUAAUAAUGUAUUUUGAGCGCUUCCCUUACAAGGAAGAAGUCACAGGUUCAAAUCCUGUAGCGCCCA
RNAcentral lists this transfer RNA (151 nucleotides) under bacterium. RNAcentral's name for it is "tRNA-Val". RNAcentral also lists the same sequence under 1 other name. The record is from RNAcentral.